Molecule: ribosomal RNA, 254 nt
Filed under: uncultured bacterium
Lineage: Bacteria
Description: partial 16S ribosomal RNA
Rfam family: Bacterial small subunit ribosomal RNA
Source: RNAcentral
UACGUAGGGGGCGAGCGUUGUCCGGAUUUAUUGGGCGUAAAGAGCUCGUAGGCGGCUUGGCAAGUCGGGUGUGAAACCUCCAGGCUCAACCUGGAGACGCCACUCGAUACUGCCAUGGCUAGAGUCCGGUAGGGGACCACGGAAUUCCUGGUGUAGCGGUGAAAUGCGCAGAUAUCAGGAAGAACACCGGUGGCGAAAGCGCUCUGCUAGGCCGCAACUGACACUGAGGGACGAAAGCUAGGGGAGCGAAUGGG